AUACGUAGGGGGCGAGCGUUGUCCGGAAUGAUUGGGCGUAAAGGGCGCGUAGGCGGCCGCUUAAGUCUGGAGUGAAAGUCCUGUUUUCAAGAUGGGAAUUGCUUUGGUUACUGGGGGGCUUGAGUGCAGGAGAGGUUAUCGGAAUUCCCGGUGUAGCGGUGAAAUGCGUAGAGAUCGGGAGGAACACCAGUGGCGAGGGCGGGUAACUGGACUGCAACUGACGCUGAGGCGCGAAAGUGUGGGGAGCAAACAGGAUUAGAUACCCUGGUAGUCCACACUGUAAACGAUGAAUGCUAGGUGUAAGAGGUAUCGACCCCUUUUGUGCCGGAGUCAACACAAUAAGCAUUCCGCCUGGGGAGUACGGCCGCAAGGUUGAAACUCAAAUGAAUUGACGGGG
This 397-nucleotide ribosomal RNA is filed under the name uncultured bacterium. RNAcentral describes it as "partial 16S ribosomal RNA". It matches the Rfam family "Bacterial small subunit ribosomal RNA", at positions 523 to 918 of the family's 1533-position model. The record is from RNAcentral.